AAACUCUGGUAUCUCCUCAUUUGCGGAUAAAUCUUUCACCUUUUUACUAAAGAUUUCCGUAGGGAGGCACAAUACAAUGAGUCUAAUCUCAUUUCUUCCAACUCCUUCUUCGCACGGAGU
Non-coding RNA from Schistosoma haematobium, 120 nucleotides. The record is from Rfam. Lineage: Eukaryota; Metazoa; Platyhelminthes; Trematoda; Strigeidida; Schistosomatidae.